RNAcentral lists this ribosomal RNA (383 nucleotides) under uncultured eukaryote. RNAcentral's name for it is "partial 18S ribosomal RNA". It matches the Rfam family "Eukaryotic small subunit ribosomal RNA", at positions 592 to 976 of the family's 1831-position model. The record is from RNAcentral.
CAAUAGCGUAUAUUAAAGUUGUUGCAGUUAAAAAGCUCGUAGUUGGAUUUCUGGUGGGAGCGAUCGGUCUGGCGCUUAGCGCGAGUACUUGCAUCGUUUCCGGCCAUCCUUGGGGAGAGUCUGUCUGGCAUUAGGUUGUCGGGCAGAGGAUCCUCAUCGUUUACUGUGAAAAAAUUAGAGUGUUCAAAGCAGGCUUAUGCCGUUGAAUAUAUUAGCAUGGAAUAAUAAGAUAGGACUUUGGUACUAUUUUGUUGGUUUGCGCACCAAAGUAAUGAUUAAUAGGGACAGUUGGGGGUAUUCGUAUUCCGUUGUCAGAGGUGAAAUUCUUGGAUUUACGGAAGACGAACUACUGCGAAAGCAUUUACCAAGGAUGUUUUCAUUAA